UUCUGUCAGACAGCAGAAUGAACUUCACCAGAGCGAAAGCAAAAAUCCAACGGUCGCCGAUAUGACAGACAGCAGAUGCUCGCUCAUGCAAAAGUCAAUCGUUUCGUCAGUCUAGAUUCACUUGUCCCGUGGUUCGGUUCGGCGUGCGUUUUGUGUGACUGAUAAGGUUUCCAUAUUAUCAUCAUCGCUAGUGUGUGCGGCAACCGCGAAUAGAAGAAGAUUACGGUGUGGAAUAUCGCGUGACUGUCGAAAAGCAGAGUGCCGAAUUCGUUUUGGGUGUAUUUGAUUUGAGCCGAGUGCAAUUAUUUUUAGCUUGCAAAAUUUCGGCUUUAGUUCAGGAGACGGAAUUUGCUCUGCCGGUUUUGGGUGGGAUUUAAGUAUAGUGUUCUGAAACCUGCGGGACCAGUGGUGAAAGGCUCACUCCUGCAUUACUAAGUGCAAUUGCACUAUAGUAAUCGUCAUCGAGACAGUGCUCUUGGUGCAAAUGUUGCAAAUUGUGACGGAAGUUUCCGUGCAGUGAAUUUUGAUUGAAUUUGGUUGAAAAAAAGGCCAAAGAAGUUCGCAGCUUGCUGUGACUGCGUGGAAGUUUCGUGCGAAACAGUAUCCAAAAGAGAAAGUAAGAGAAGAAAAUAAAAGAAGAAUCAUCGCUUGAAACAGCGAAAAAUCGUACGAUUCGCCACAUAAACACUUUUGUGUGUGAAUCUCUCGCUCUGUGGUCUGUUUGUAAUAGCAAGAGCGAAAGGGAGGGCAUAACAAACUGUAUGCUAUCGGGGCGACAACUCCCUGCUCCGUUGUUUAUACUGAUAUUGUGUUGACUAAUCGCGGGUGUGUUGUUUGUGCAUCGGGUCCCCCAUACUCCUUCCGGUACGUGAAUGCCUUCUAGUCAAGGUUACCGUAAGGUAGCAUCCGAGCCGGCCGAUUCGGAGCUUGAGAUUAGCCGGAACGCCUCCUCAAACGACACAGCAACAAUGCCCAAUCAACAGAAAUCGGUGGCCGAGCCACAGACUGUAGUGACCGGCAAUCCUGCGGGAAAGAUUCCGGCCACCAAUUCCCAACAGAGGCUAAUGCCACCCGAUUCGGACAGUGUUUCCUCCUCGAUUGAUGAGGAUCAAGAAGCGACACAUGGCGGGGGCGAUGGAGGCGGUGGCGGGCUUCGACACUUACCACCGGGCCAUCACGACGAAGACGAUGGAUCGGUGAUAGUCAGCAGCACCGGCACCGGAAGGGUUUCCCGGACGGCAUGGUUCACCGUGAUAGUGCUGUGCUUUGUCAAUCUCAUCAACUACAUGGAUCGGUUUACGAUUGCAGGUGUGCUAAAAGACAUUCAAGACCAGUUCCAAAUCGGCGAUGACGAGGGCGGUCUGCUGCAGACGGCAUUCGUGCUGUCCUACAUGAUUUGCGCCCCAAUUUUCGGCUACCUGGGCGAUCGUUACUCGCGCAAGUGGAUCAUGGCGCUGGGGGUGCUUCUGUGGAGCACGACAACGCUGCUCGGUUCCUUCAUGACCAGUUUCGGGUGGUUCAUCACAUUCCGUGCCAUGGUGGGCAUUGGCGAGGCAUCGUACAGUACGAUCGCACCGACGAUCAUCUCCGAUCUGUUCGUUGGAGAUUUGCGUUCGAAAAUGUUGGCUUUGUUCUACUUUGCCAUUCCAGUGGGAUCGGGAUUGGGAUACAUUGUUGGCUCGGAAACGGCUAAGUUCUUCGGUUCGUGGGCUUUUGCCCUUCGUGUUACUCCUAUUCUGGGCAUCAUUGCAGUCGCAUUGAUUGCGUUGAUUCGUGAUCCUGAACGAGGACAAAGUGAAGGAUCUCAUCACAUGGAAGCCACCUCCUAUCGGGAAGACAUCAAGGAUAUUGUGCGGAAUCCAUCGUUUAUGCUAUCAACUGCCGGUUUUACUUGUGUUGCAUUCGUCGCUGGCGCUCUGGCCUGGUGGGGACCAAAGUUCAUCUAUCUAGGAUUGGUUUCCCAACCGGGCAACGAAAACAUCACCCUCAACGACGUAUCGUAUAAGUUCGGAAUUAUAGCGAUGCUAGCGGGGUUGAUCGGUGUUCCAUCAGGAUCCUACAUGGCGAGAAAGCUACGUCCCCUGUAUCCAUCGUGUGAUCCGAUGAUCUGCGCUGCAGGAUUGUUCUGCAGUUCACCUCUCAUCUACCUGGCCUUGGUAGUAACGAAAUACAGCGGAGCUUGGUGCUUUUUCCUAGUUUUCUUCGCUGAAGUUUCCCUGAACCUGACCUGGUCGAUUGUUGCCGACAUACUGCUGUACGUAGUUGUGCCUACACGGAGGUCCACAGCGGAAGCCUUCCAGAUUUUGAUCUCACACGCCUUCGGUGAUGCAGGAAGUCCAUACUUUGUUGGAGUGAUUUCUGAAGCUAUCAAGCGAUUACUGCGACUAUCGGCCGUCGGUGUUGCCGCCGUGUUUCCACCGGAUCUAACCAGCUACUCGCAACUGGCGGAGAAUGUCACGACGACCUCUACUAGUACAACGACGACCACCCUUACCCCUCUUCCACACGCAGCCGACGAAGACACGGCCUCGGUUCAGUUCCGUGCCUUACAGUACGCCCUGUUCUCGACCAGCUUUGUGGAAAUCAUUGGCGGUGUGUUCUUCCUCCUGACGGCGAUGUACAUCCUUCGGGACCGGAGAAACGUGGAACGAGCCGUGGCAGGCUGUGAACUAGAACUCAGCGAAAGCUCAUCCGGUUCGGAAAUCCUAGAGCCAAACGCUAUCCCAUCGUCAUCCGCACAUCAUCAACGGCAGCGUAGUAGUGGUCGUCAUCGCCAGCAUCAACGGCGACAGUCGGGCGCCGUUUGUCCAUCGACAUCCUAACAGCAACCGCCAAUAGAAAUCAUUUAAUUGGUAGUGUCAUUUGGAUCCUAAAAGCCGUACAAAAAACCGUGGGAUCCAAAGGCGUACCGUGUUGUUGUUUCGAGCCCUGAACCAAAUGCCACUCACCAAAACCAAAGUUGCGCACUGUCCCAUUGUAGCCAUUUAGAAAGCCAAACUGCCAGGUCGUCCGCGCAACGUUUGGACAAUUCGACAUCCAGUUCCUCCGUCUCCGAUUAGUAAUAGCCGUAGUAGGUUUAGGUAAAGCAAUAUCACACACACAGAUAGGACCACGCCAUGUUUUGGUAGGCCUACGCCACCGUACACCAUCUUCUCCCGCUUUGUUUUUCUCGACCAUUCAUGACAGAGGAAGUGCCACGAUUCUCAGCCCCGCAUCGGGCAUCCACUAUGCCUCUAGUACGGACCAUGGGGUCAUCGGACUAAACCCUUCUCUCAAUACAGAGCUACACGGAGUAUCAAAUAUUACUCUACGAACAAGAAUCACAACAUCCCUACCCUACUUCGCACCCCCGAAGCCAUCGACCGUAUUUGUAAAUAGGAAGAAUCCACUAACGGUUCGCACCCAGACUGAGUUCCCUAAGUCUUUUCAAACUCGUUUUACCAUUACAAGAAAAAGUAACGCGUUAACGGAGCAAGGUGGUCAAUGUUGGGUAGAAACAAAUGAAUGAAAAACACUCAUAAAGGACUGAUACUAAUUUUAGUGUAAAUUUAGCGAAGCAAUUUGAUAACUAAAAAGAAAAGUAAACGGAGAUUUCCUAUUUCCUUUCAUGUAAAUUCUCUCGUCUAAUUUUGGCGUUUGAUUGAGUUUUACCGGCAGCAGUAUGUUAGGGAAGCAAACUAUGAAAAAAGUGAUCUGUGAGAACGUGUCCUUUGAAUGGGUGUUUUUGAUGAUAUAAACAAGCCGAAGCCACUUCUCAUUCGUUCAGAACAUGUCUCCUUUUGCGAAAGAAGAGGAUAACGCGAUAUAUGUAGUUAGAGACUUCUUUUUUUUUUUGGUCUCUGCAGGAAAAGUAUCGACAGAGAACGGCUAUAAUUGUAUAAAAGAAUUGAUUUUGUUUAUUAUCUUUUGAAAAAUGUAUUCUAUCAUAUCUGUUGAAACCGAUUGGAGAUUUUUGAACGUUGAAUAUGUUUCAGGCAUAGGUUAGCAUACAACUAAAUAUUUAUUGAUUAUUUAGGAGUAGACAGAUUGUGGAUAGUCGUAAGCGGUAUUAAUUUUUCCUGUAAAAAGAAUGGAGAUAAGUUAUACAAAAAUAUCACAAAGAUAAAUAGAAAAAUCAGAAACUUUUAUAACUAAGUGA
Molecule: RNA transcript, 4138 nt
Organism: Aedes aegypti (yellow fever mosquito)
Lineage: Eukaryota; Metazoa; Arthropoda; Insecta; Diptera; Culicidae
Gene: spin
Gene name: protein spinster
Exons: 8
Source: RefSeq, a predicted model, not a curated record